This 252-nucleotide ribosomal RNA is filed under the name uncultured bacterium. RNAcentral's name for it is "partial 16S ribosomal RNA". It matches the Rfam family "Bacterial small subunit ribosomal RNA", at positions 524 to 775 of the family's 1533-position model. The record is from RNAcentral.
UACAGAGGGGGCUAGCGUUAUUCGGAAUUAUUGGGCGUAAAGGGCGCGUAGGCGGCCUUGCGUGUCUUUCGUGAAAUCCCUCGGCUUAACUGAGGACGUGCGGAAGAAACUGCAGGGCUUGAGUCCGGGAGAGGGGGGUGGAAUUCCCAGUGUAGCGGUGAAAUGCGUAGAUAUUGGGAGGAACACCGGUGGCGAAGGCGGCCCCCUGGACCGGUACUGACGCUGAGGCGCGAAAGCGUGGGGAGCAAACGG